This is a long non-coding RNA of Pan paniscus (pygmy chimpanzee), 448 nucleotides long. Lineage: Eukaryota; Metazoa; Chordata; Mammalia; Primates; Hominidae. The record is from Ensembl.
UACAGGAGAAAAAAGUUCAUUCAAUAGGAAAGAUGUAAACUGUAACCAGUGAUGCUCAAAAAUUGAAGGUCUGAUUCAAUUUUGACAUAGCGAAUGAAAUUGGACUCAUUUUAUGAAAGCUUGGCUAUAUUAUCUGAUGAGGCUAAUGAGGGAAGAAGGUGUUUUAUUGCAAAACAUUAACUGUAAACAAUCAACUAGAAUCCAUUAAGCUGUUUAUUCUUGAAAUCAUUCUUUCAGACUGAUUACUUAAGUAUCAAAUGCAAUAAAGCAAUCAACUUAUUCUUCUUUUAUUUAUUUGUUUUUUUACUACUUAGUUCUUAUGGGAAAUUCUAUCCAGGUCAUCAUAACACAAUUGAAAACAACUGAUAAUGAAAAGAAUGCUAAUUGGUUUCCUCUCUCUCUUAUCACUGAUCCGUACACAGACCAAGGACAGAACCCAGAGGGCUAA